UGCCAGCCGCCGCGGUAAUACAGAAGGCCCGAGCGUUAAUCAGAAUCACUGGGCUUAAAGCGUGCGCAGGCUGUCCAGCAAGCAUCCCGUGAAAUCCCUCGGCUCAACCGGGGAACUGCGGGGUGAACUGCUGGACUUGAGAAAGGUAGGGGCUGAUGGAACCAUGAGUGGAGCGGUGAAAUGCGUAGAUAUUCAUGGGAACGCCGAUGGGGAAGCCGAUCAGCUGGGCCUUUUCUGACGCUCAUGCACGAAAGCGUGGGGAGCAAACAGGAUUAGAUA
RNAcentral lists this ribosomal RNA (279 nucleotides) under uncultured bacterium. RNAcentral describes it as "partial 16S ribosomal RNA". It matches the Rfam family "Bacterial small subunit ribosomal RNA", at positions 506 to 784 of the family's 1533-position model. The record is from RNAcentral.